AGGGUUUGACAUCCUGCGAAUCUCUUGGAAACGAGAGAGUGCCUUCGGGAGCGCAGUGACAGGUGGUGCAUGGCUGUCGUCAGCUCGUGUCGUGAGAUGUUGGGUUAAGUCCCGCAACGAGCGCAACCCACGUCUUUAGUUGCCAGCAUUUAGUUGGGCACUCUAGAGAGACCGCCGGUGAUAAACCGGAGGAAGGUGUGGAUGACGUCAAGUCAUCAUGCCCCUUACAUCCUGGGCUACACACGUA
This 247-nucleotide ribosomal RNA is filed under the name uncultured Synechococcus sp. Its description in RNAcentral is "partial 16S ribosomal RNA". It matches the Rfam family "Bacterial small subunit ribosomal RNA", at positions 976 to 1223 of the family's 1533-position model. The record is from RNAcentral. Lineage: Bacteria; Bacillati; Cyanobacteriota; Cyanophyceae; Synechococcales; Synechococcaceae.